RNAcentral lists this transfer RNA (85 nucleotides) under Felis catus (domestic cat). It matches the Rfam family "tRNA". Rfam says of the family: Transfer RNA (tRNA) molecules are approximately 80 nucleotides in length. Their secondary structure includes four short double-helical elements and three loops (D, anti-codon, and T loops). RNAcentral also lists the same sequence under 3 other names. The record is from Rfam by way of RNAcentral. Lineage: Eukaryota; Metazoa; Chordata; Mammalia; Carnivora; Felidae.
ACCUGGGUGGCUUAGCAGGUUAAGCAUCUGACUUCGGCUCAGGUCAUGAUCUCGUGGUUUUUGAGUUCAAGCCCCACCUCGGGCU